This 390-nucleotide long non-coding RNA is filed under the name Salvia miltiorrhiza (redroot sage). Its description in RNAcentral is "long non-coding RNA (SMIL_LNC002804)". The record is from RNAcentral. Lineage: Eukaryota; Viridiplantae; Streptophyta; Magnoliopsida; Lamiales; Lamiaceae.
ACUCACAGAAAUUGAAGAAUCGACAUCUUCGAGAGAAGAACUAGUGAACGAUGGUCGUAGAUGCUGAAGCAAAAUCCUCUGCCUCUCAGUUGCUUUCUCCAUUUCUCUCUUUCUCUAUAAAUAUAUAAUCAGAGCAGAAAAUUGGGGAAAUGAAGAUUACAAAUUUGAUGCGUGUUUGCGUGUAUUUAUAUAUGAAUGAAGAGUUCAUAGGGAAGUGUGAAAAUGAUAAUACUACUAUCAUAGAUCCAUUUUUCUGACACAUCCUUACUCCCUCCGUCCAUGAAAUGAGUACCCAUAUUUCUUUUUUCGUUCGUCCUGGAAAUAAGUACUCAUUUCCCUUUUGGGCAAGUGUAUCUCACAUAUCUCUUUAAUUAAUACACUAAAAAAAUG